UGAAAAUGCGUAGGGCGCGCGAAUAACCAGUAGGGUGAGAAAAGUAAUUCUCUUGGUGGAAUUUCUUACCUUCUUUCUUUAGAGAUCCUUUACAUGACAAGAUGAGUUAACAAUGUUACCGUUUUGAUUAAGUUUUUCUUUUUGUCCUUGUUCUAGGGGUCAAGUCUAGCCCCCUAUACUUCUUUUUCUCUUCUUUUCCUAUAUAUAUUUUUUAUUAUGAGAUAUAGGCAGAGGAGAGAUAUGUCUAAGGGUGUCAACAUAGUUGAGAUGUAUAUUCAUGCUAUGAUACUUAGAUGCUCUUAAGUAUCUAUAUAUAGAAGUGUUAGCUAACGCCAAUCUCUUCUUCUAAACCGAAACAUUUUUCUACAUAACAAAGUAAUAAACUGAUACCAAACUAACAAGAACAAACUCCAUUGAUAGAGCUUGAAGAACAGAGAGAAGGAAGAAGAAGAUAAAAUGUGGAGGAGUAGAUUGUAUUGAAUAUUGAAUGAAUGAUCAAUUACAAGUGUGUGUAGAGUUUAUAUAGAAUAGUUAGUUACAAACUGAAUAACCAACUUGUCUUACAAGUUUAACUAACUAACUCAAUGUAAUAAGCUAAUUAGUCAUAUUUAAUCAAUCUACAUUUUGUCACUACAUAAAGCUCAAAUCUCUCUAUAACUCUACAGCUUCCACGGCUCCAGAUCGCGCUGCCUAUCUCUUCCCGGCCACCUCACACCGAGAGACUCUUACCACUGCUAGCCACUAGAGUAAGCUCAACAUGUUGGACACUCCCAACAAUGAUUGGUUUCGUAGCUAAAUGGCGCACGAGGGGUGGAAUUUCUAGCCAACAUGCCAGACACUUCCCAACCAUCUUUAAUGUGGAAUUUCUAACCACUAGGCUAGUUGACAAAAAAAAAAUCCGGACAAGAGUGGUUUUAAAGAAUCACGGGACGAGAAAAGAAAACUCCCUUCAUGUGGAAGUGUUAUUUGCUCAUUUGGUUUAACGAUAUGGAGGGACUGGUUUGAUUAAAAGAUUAAACAUCAAUUUGUUAUUGACAAGUUGUGAAAUGUUGUAAAGAAAAUUUGGAAAGACUUUCUUGAAAGACCUUAAGAUCAGUUCUACAAGUGCAGAUAAAAAAUAGAGCUAAGAAAACAAUGAAAAUAAAUUCAUUGAUCAAGAUUAUGUACUGCAACAACACCACCACCAAAAAAAGGCAUACAGGGUUACAAAACAUUAAUGCAAGUUUCAACAUGAAUGUCAGUUGCUGUAGUCACGGCCUUGCAUUGUUAACCUUCCAGAAUUGAAGUGCGACAAGGGCGAUAAAUAGCAAUGGUGGCGAUGAAAAUAAUGCAAAUUUCAACAUGAAUGUCGGUUGCUGUAGUCACGGCCUUGCAUUGUUAAACUUCCAGAAUUGAAGUGCGACAAGGGCGAUACAUAGUAAUGGUGGUGAUGAAAAUUGAAACUCAUUGACGACAAGUCAGAGUCACUCAUUCAAGCUUAGCUACAUACUUGGAGCGAGUAUACUCCAAAGCUUUGAAAAUAGAAGAACAAUUAUGUUGACGAAUAAUCAUGACAAGGAUGAAUAUGUUGGCUGCUAAGAACAUUAAGCCUGCCGCCCAAAGCUGUAAAAGGACAUU
RNAcentral lists this long non-coding RNA (1617 nucleotides) under Trifolium pratense (red clover). RNAcentral describes it as "long non-coding RNA (TPRA_LNC005039)". The record is from RNAcentral. Lineage: Eukaryota; Viridiplantae; Streptophyta; Magnoliopsida; Fabales; Fabaceae.